RNAcentral lists this ribosomal RNA (731 nucleotides) under uncultured bacterium. RNAcentral's name for it is "bacterial SSU rRNA". It matches the Rfam family "Bacterial small subunit ribosomal RNA", at positions 771 to 1501 of the family's 1533-position model. The record is from RNAcentral.
AACAGGAUUAGAUACCCUGGUAGUCCACGCCGUAAACGAUGAGUGCUAGGUGUUGGAGGGUUUCCGCCCUUCAGUGCCGGAGCUAACGCAUUAAGCACUCCGCCUGGGGAGUACGACCGCAAGGUUGAAACUCAAAGGAAUUGACGGGGGCCCGCACAAGCGGUGGAGCAUGUGGUUUAAUUCGAAGCUACGCGAAGAACCUUACCAGGUCUUGACAUCUUGCGCCAACCCUAGAGAUAGGGCGUUUCCUUCGGGAACGCAAUGACAGGUGGUGCAUGGUCGUCGUCAGCUCGUGUCGUGAGACGUUGGGUUAAGUCCCGCAACGAGCGCAACCCUUGUUACUAGUUGCCAGCAUUAAGUUGGGCACUCUAGUGAGACUGCCGGUGACAAACCGGAGGAAGGUGGGGACGACGUCAGAUCAUCAUGCCCCUUAUGACCUGGGCUACACACGUGCUACAAUGGACGGUACAACGAGUCGCGAACUCGCGAGGGCAAGCAAAUCUCUUAAAACCGUUCUCAGUUCGGACUGCAGGCUGCAACUCGCCUGCACGAAGUCGGAAUCGCUAGUAAUCGCGGAUCAGCAUGCCGCGGUGAAUACGUUCCCGGGCCUUGUACACACCGCCCGUCACACCAUGAGAGUUUGUAACUCCCAAAGUCGGUGGGGUAACCUUUUAGGAGCCAGCCGCCUAAGGUGGGACAGAUGAUUAGGGUGAAGUCGUAACAAGGUAACC